This is a long non-coding RNA of Fukomys damarensis (Damara mole-rat), 224 nucleotides long. RefSeq lists it as uncharacterized. The record is from RefSeq and is a predicted model, not a curated record. The transcript has 3 exons. Lineage: Eukaryota; Metazoa; Chordata; Mammalia; Rodentia; Bathyergidae.
CCCAUCCCUGACAGGCAUAAAUUGAGUCCAAGCUACCUAACCUGAUGGGGACCGGACUGGACGCAAAGGCUGUUGCAGACUUUGAAGAAAUGAUGGUGACGGGGCCAAGGGAGGCAGUUGAGGAAGAAGCAAGGACGGGCAUUGAGCCAACAGUGAGCCCCUCUGAACAAUGAGAUCUUACUCUCCACGAAGAACGCUUUAUUACCAGUAAAUCAGACAAACAG